AUACGGAGGAUCCGAGCGUUAUCCGGAUUUAUUGGGUUUAAAGGGAGCGUAGGUGGACAGUUAAGUCAGUUGUGAAAGUUUGCGGCUCAACCGUAAAAUUGCAGUUGAUACUGGCUGUCUUGAGUACAGUAGAGGGGGGCGGAAUUCGUGGUGUAGCGGUGAAAUGCUUAGAUAUCACGAAGAACUCCGAUUGCGAAGGCAGCUCACUGGACUGCAACCGACACUGAUGCUCGAAAGUGUGGGUAUCAAACAGGAUUAGAUACCCUGGUAGUCCACACAGUAAACGAUGAAUACUCGCUGUUUGCGAUAUACAGUAAGCGGCCAAUCGAAAGCAUUAAGUAUUCCACCUGGGGAGUACGCCGGCAACGGUGAAACUCAAAUGAAUUGACGGGG
Molecule: ribosomal RNA, 393 nt
Filed under: uncultured bacterium
Lineage: Bacteria
Description: partial 16S ribosomal RNA
Rfam family: Bacterial small subunit ribosomal RNA
Source: RNAcentral